RNAcentral lists this ribosomal RNA (466 nucleotides) under uncultured bacterium. Its description in RNAcentral is "partial 16S ribosomal RNA". It matches the Rfam family "Bacterial small subunit ribosomal RNA", at positions 28 to 507 of the family's 1533-position model. The record is from RNAcentral.
GACGAACGCUGGCGGCGCGCCUAACACAUGCAAGUCGAACGAGCGAGAGAGAGCUUGCUUUCUCGAGCGAGUGGCGAACGGGUGAGUAACGCGUGAGGAACCUGCCUCAAAGAGGGGGACAACAGUUGGAAACGACUGCUAAUACCGCAUAAGCCCACGACCCGGCAUCGGGUAGAGGGAAAAGGAGCAAUCCGCUUUGAGAUGGCCUCGCGUCCGAUUAGCUAGUUGGUGAGGUAACGGCCCACCAAGGCGACGAUCGGUAGCCGGACUGAGAGGUUGAACGGCCACAUUGGGACUGAGACACGGCCCAGACUCCUACGGGAGGCAGCAGUGGGGAAUAUUGCACAAUGGGGGAAACCCUGAUGCAGCGACGCUGCGUGGAGGAAGAAGGUCUUCGGAUUGUAAACUCCUGUUGUUGAGGAAGAUAAUGACGGUACUCAACAAGGAAGUGACGGCUAACUACGUG